This 577-nucleotide ribosomal RNA is filed under the name uncultured bacterium. Its description in RNAcentral is "partial 16S ribosomal RNA". It matches the Rfam family "Bacterial small subunit ribosomal RNA", at positions 355 to 926 of the family's 1533-position model. The record is from RNAcentral.
UGGGGAAUUUUGGACAAUGGGCGAAAGCCUGAUCCAGCAAUGCCGCGUGUGUGAAGAAGGCCUUCGGGUUGUAAAGCACUUUUGUCCGGAAAGAAAUCCUUGGCUCUAAUACAGUCGGGGGAUGACGGUACCGGAAGAAUAAGCACCGGCUAACUACGUGCCAGCAGCCGCGGUAAUACGUAGGGUGCAAGCGUUAAUCGGAAUUACUGGGCGUAAAGCGUGCGCAGGCGGUUUGCUAAGACCGAUGUGAAAUCCCCGGGCUCAACCUGGGAACUGCAUUGGUGACUGGCAGGCUAGAGUAUGGCAGAGGGGGGUAGAAUUCCACGUGUAGCAGUGAAAUGCGUAGAGAUGUGGAGGAAUACCGAUGGCGAAGGCAGCCCCCUGGGCCAAUACUGACGCUCAUGCACGAAAGCGUGGGGAGCAAACAGGAUUAGAUACCCUGGUAGUCCACGCCCUAAACGAUGUCAACUGGUUGUUGGGAAGGUUCCUUCUCAGUAACGUAGCUAACGCGUGAAGUUGACCGCCUGGGGAGUACGGCCGAAGGUUGAAACUUAAAUGAAUUGACGGGGUCAUAGCU